GAUUAAUGCUCGCGACGUGCCUAAGGUAUGCAAGUCGAACGAGAAACCUCGCUUGCGAGGUGGACAGUGGCAGACGGCUGAGUAAUACAUGAGAACUUACCCUAAAGACGGGCAUAGCUACGAGAAAUCGUAGGUAAUUCCCGAUAGUCUCUUCGGAGUAAACGCUUUUGCGCUUUAGGAUGGGCUCAUGGCCUAUCAGGUUGUUGGUGAGGUAAAUGCUCACCAAGCCUAUGACGGGUAGCUGGUUUGAGAGGAUGAUCAGCCAGACUGGGACUGCGACACGGCCCAG
This 289-nucleotide ribosomal RNA is filed under the name uncultured bacterium. RNAcentral describes it as "partial 16S ribosomal RNA". It matches the Rfam family "Bacterial small subunit ribosomal RNA", at positions 28 to 334 of the family's 1533-position model. The record is from RNAcentral.